RNAcentral lists this unclassified non-coding RNA (200 nucleotides) under Hevea brasiliensis (rubber tree). The record is from RNAcentral. Lineage: Eukaryota; Viridiplantae; Streptophyta; Magnoliopsida; Malpighiales; Euphorbiaceae.
GUCCGUCGAACUACAUGCAGGCGGCGAUGCUGGUGGAAGAAGCUGCAAAGCUGCCCGCCAAGCGCUGGGCGACCAUCGCACCGAAUUAUGAGUACGGUCAGUCCGCGGUCGCGGUUUUCAAGAAGCUGCUGUCNNNNNNGACAUCCAGUGGGUCGAUGAACAGUGGCCGCCUCAGGGCAAAAUCGAUGCAGGCCCGAUCG